RNAcentral lists this transfer RNA (70 nucleotides) under Nesophrosyne kanawao. RNAcentral's name for it is "tRNA-Gly". Lineage: Eukaryota; Metazoa; Arthropoda; Insecta; Hemiptera; Cicadellidae. The record is from RNAcentral.
AUUCAAUUAGUAUAUAAUUCAUAGUAUACUAAGCUUCCAACUUAAAGGAUUAAAAAAUAUAAAUUGAAUA